GGGUUGUGAGGUUAAGCGACUAAGCGUACACGGUGGAUGCCCUGGCAGUCAGAGGCGAUGAAGGACGUGCUAAUCUGCGAAAAGCGUCGGUAAGGUGAUAUGAACCGUUAUAACCGGCGAUGUCCGAAUGGGGAAACCCAGUGUGAUUCGUCACACUAUCGUUAACUGAAUACAUAGGUUAACGAGGCGAACCGGGGGAACUGAAACAUCUAAGUACCCCGAGGAAAAGAAAUCAACCGAGAUUCCCCCAGUAGCGGCGAGCGAACGGGGAGCAGCCCAGAGUCUGAAUCAGCUUGUGUGUUAGUGGAACGGUCUGGAAAGUCCGACGGUACAGGGUGAUAGUCCCGUACACCAAAAUGCACAGGCUGUGAACUCGAAGAGUAGGGCGGGACACGUGGUAUCCUGUCUGAAUAUGGGGGGACCAUCCUCCAAGGCUAAAUACUCCUGACUGACCGAUAGUGAACCAGUACCGUGAGGGAAAGGCGAAAAGAACCCCGGCGAGGGGAGUGAAAAAGAACCUGAAACCGUGUACGUACAAGCAGUGGGAGCACCUUUAUGGUGUGACUGCGUACCUUUUGUAUAAUGGGUCAGCGACUUAUAUUCUGUAGCAAGGUUAACCGUAUAGGGGAGCCGCAGGGAAACCGAGUCUUAACUGGGCGUUAAGUUGCAGGGUAUAGACCCGAAACCCGGUGAUCUAGCCAUGGGCAGGUUGAAGGUUGGGUAACACUAACUGGAGGACCGAACCGACUAAUGUUGAAAAAUUAGCGGAUGACUUGUGGCUGGGGGUGAAAGGCCAAUCAAACCGGGAGAUAGCUGGUUCUCCCCGAAAGCUAUUUAGGUAGCGCCUCGUGAACUCAUCUUCGGGGGUAGAGCACUGUUUCGGCUAGGGGGUCAUCCCGACUUACCAACCCGAUGCAAACUACGAAUACCGAAGAAUGUUAUCACGGGAGACACACGGCGGGUGCUAACGUCCGUCGUGAAGAGGGAAACAACCCAGACCGCCAGCUAAGGUCCCAAAGUCAUGGUUAAGUGGGAAACGAUGUGGGAAGGCACAGACAGCCAGGAUGUUGGCUUAGAAGCAGCCAUCAUUUAAAGAAAGCGUAAUAGCUCACUGGUCGAGUCGGCCUGCGCGGAAGAUGUAACGGGGCUAAACCAUGCACCGAAGCUGCGGCAGCGACACUAUGUGUUGUUGGGUAGGGGAGCGUUCUGUAAGCCUGCGAAGGUGACCUGUGAGGGUUGCUGGAGGUAUCAGAAGUGCGAAUGCUGACAUAAGUAACGAUAAAGCGGGUGAAAAGCCCGCUCGCCGGAAGACCAAGGGUUCCUGUCCAACGUUAAUCGGGGCAGGGUGAGUCGACCCCUAAGGCGAGGCCGAAAGGCGUAGUCGAUGGGAAACAGGUUAAUAUUCCUGUACUUGGUGUUACUGCGAAGGGGGGACGGAGAAGGCUAUGUUAGCCGGGCGACGGUUGUCCCGGUUUAAGCAUGUAGGCUGGUUAUCCAGGCAAAUCCGGAUAAUCAAGGCUGAGGUGUGAUGACGAGGCACUACGGUGCUGAAGUAACAAAUGCCCUGCUUCCAGGAAAAGCCUCUAAGCAUCAGGUAACAUCAAAUCGUACCCCAAACCGACACAGGUGGUCAGGUAGAGAAUACCAAGGCGCUUGAGAGAACUCGGGUGAAGGAACUAGGCAAAAUGGUGCCGUAACUUCGGGAGAAGGCACGCUGGUGUGUAGGUGAAGUCCCUGCGGAUGGAGCUGAGACCAGUCGAAGAUACCAGCUGGCUGCAACUGUUUAUUAAAAACACAGCACUGUGCAAACACGAAAGUGGACGUAUACGGUGUGACGCCUGCCCGGUGCCGGAAGGUUAAUUGAUGGGGUUAUCCGUAAGGAGAAGCUCUUGAUCGAAGCCCCGGUAAACGGCGGCCGUAACUAUAACGGUCCUAAGGUAGCGAAAUUCCUUGUCGGGUAAGUUCCGACCUGCACGAAUGGCGUAAUGAUGGCCAGGCUGUCUCCACCCGAGACUCAGUGAAAUUGAACUCGCUGUGAAGAUGCAGUGUACCCGCGGCAAGACGGAAAGACCCCGUGAACCUUUACUAUAGCUUGACACUGAACAUUGAGCCUUGAUGUGUAGGAUAGGUGGGAGGCUUUGAAGCGUGGACGCCAGUCUGCGUGGAGCCAACCUUGAAAUACCACCCUUUAAUGUUUGAUGUUCUAACGUUGGCCCCUGACCGGGGUUGCGGACAGUGUCUGGUGGGUAGUUUGACUGGGGCGGUCUCCUCCCAAAGCGUAACGGAGGAGCACGAAGGUUAGCUAAUCCUGGUCGGACAUCAGGAGGUUAGUGCAAUGGCAUAAGCUAGCUUGACUGCGAGCGUGACGGCGCGAGCAGGUGCGAAAGCAGGUCAUAGUGAUCCGGUGGUUCUGAAUGGAAGGGCCAUCGCUCAACGGAUAAAAGGUACUCCGGGGAUAACAGGCUGAUACCGCCCAAGAGUUCAUAUCGACGGCGGUGUUUGGCACCUCGAUGUCGGCUCAUCACAUCCUGGGGCUGAAGUAGGUCCCAAGGGUAUGGCUGUUCGCCAUUUAAAGUGGUACGCGAGCUGGGUUUAGAACGUCGUGAGACAGUUCGGUCCCUAUCUGCCGUGGGCGCUGGAGAAUUGAGGGGGGCUGCUCCUAGUACGAGAGGACCGGAGUGGACGCAUCACUGGUGUUCGGGUUGUCAUGCCAAUGGCACUGCCCGGUAGCUAAAUGCGGAAGAGAUAAGUGCUGAAAGCAUCUAAGCACGAAACUUGCCCCGAGAUGAGUUCUCCCUGAGACUUUAAGUCUCCUGAAGGAACGUUAAAGACGAUGACGUUGAUAGGCCGGGUGUGUAAGCGCAGCGAUGCGUUGAGCUAACCGGUACUAAUGAACCGUGAGGCUUAACCUUACAACGCCGAAG
RNAcentral lists this ribosomal RNA (2924 nucleotides) under Klebsiella quasipneumoniae. Its description in RNAcentral is "23S ribosomal RNA". It matches the Rfam family "Bacterial large subunit ribosomal RNA". Lineage: Bacteria; Pseudomonadati; Pseudomonadota; Gammaproteobacteria; Enterobacterales; Enterobacteriaceae. The record is from RNAcentral.